AUUGAACGCUGGCGGCAUGCCUUACACAUGCAAGUCGAACGGCAGCACGGGAGCAAUCCUGGUGGCGAGUGGCGAACGGGUGAGUAAAGUAUCGGAACGUGCCCAGUCGUGGGGGAUAACCUAGCGAAAGUUACGCUAAUACCGCAUACGAUCUAUGGAUGAAAGCGGGGGAUCGCAAGACCUCGCGCGAUUGGAGCGGCCGAUAUCAGAUUAGGUAGUUGGUGGGGUAAAGGCGCACCAAGCCGACGAUCUGUAGCUGGUCUGGGAGGACGACCAGCCACCCUGGGACUGAGACACGGCCCAGACUCCUCCGGGAGGCAGCAGUGGGGAAUUUUGGAAAAUGGGCGCAAGCCUGAUCCAGCCAUGCCGCGUGCAGGAUGAAGGCCUUCGGGUUGUAAACUGCUUUUGUACGGAACGAAAAGGUUUGACUUAAUACGUUGGACUCAUGACGGUACCGUAAGAAUAAGCACCGGCUAACUACGUGCCAGCAGCCGCCGUAA
RNAcentral lists this ribosomal RNA (500 nucleotides) under uncultured bacterium. RNAcentral's name for it is "partial 16S ribosomal RNA". It matches the Rfam family "Bacterial small subunit ribosomal RNA", at positions 30 to 523 of the family's 1533-position model. The record is from RNAcentral.